This 519-nucleotide ribosomal RNA is filed under the name uncultured bacterium. RNAcentral's name for it is "bacterial SSU rRNA". It matches the Rfam family "Bacterial small subunit ribosomal RNA", at positions 9 to 526 of the family's 1533-position model. The record is from RNAcentral.
GAGUUUGAUCCUGGCUCAGGAUGAACGCUGGCGGCGUGCUUAACACAUGCAAGUCGAACGAAGCACUUUAUUUGAUUUCCUUCGGGAAUGAUUAUUUUGUGACUGAGUGGCGGACGGGUGAGUAACGCGUGGGUAACCUGCCUUGUACAGGGGGAUAACAGUUGGAAACGGCUGCUAAUACCGCAUAAGCGCACAGCAUCGCAUGAUGCAGUGUGAAAAACUCCGGUGGUAUAAGAUGGACCCGCGUUGGAUUAGCUAGUUGGUGAGGUAACGGCCCACCAAGGCGACGAUCCAUAGCCGACCUGAGAGGGUGACCGGCCACAUUGGGACUGAGACACGGCCCAAACUCCUACGGGAGGCAGCAGUGGGGAAUAUUGCACAAUGGGGGAAACCCUGAUGCAGCAACGCCGCGUGAGUGAAGAAGUAUUUCGGUAUGUAAAGCUCUAUCAGCAGGGAAGAUAAUGACGGUACCUGACUAAGAAGCUCCGGCUAAAUACGUGCCAGCCGCCGCGGUAAUAC